RNAcentral lists this ribosomal RNA (576 nucleotides) under uncultured rumen bacterium. RNAcentral's name for it is "bacterial SSU rRNA". It matches the Rfam family "Bacterial small subunit ribosomal RNA", at positions 41 to 614 of the family's 1533-position model. The record is from RNAcentral.
GGCAGGCUUACACAUGCAAGUCGAGGGGCAGCGCGGGCAGCAAUACCUGGCGGCGACCGGCGGAAGGGUGCGUAACGCGUGAGCAACAUGCCCGUAUCAGGGGGAUAAUCGAUGGAAACGUCGUCUAAUACCCCAUAACAACAGUUUCGGCAUCGAAGCUGUUUGAAAGCUCCGGCGGAUACGGAUUGGCUCGCGAGACAUUAGCUAGUUGGCGGGGUAACGGCCCACCAAGGCGACGAUGUCUAGGGGUUCUGAGAGGAAGGUCCCCCACAUUGGAACUGAGACACGGUCCAAACUCCUACGGGAGGCAGCAGUGAGGAAUAUUGGUCAAUGGCCGGAAGGCUGAACCAGCCAUGCCGCGUGCAGGAAUAAGGCCCUAUGGGUCGUAAACUGCUUUUGUGGUGGAGCAAUAAGGCGUACGCGUACGCCGAUGAGAGUACAUCACGAAUAAGCAUCGGCUAACUCCGUGCCAGCAGCCGCGGUAAUACGGAGGAUGCAAGCGUUAUCCGGAUUUAUUGGGUUUAAAGGGUGCGUAGGCUGUUUGUCAAGUCAGUGGUGAAAUCCCUGANCCUAACU